UCCCUUGUGGUCUAGUGGUUAGGAUUCCUGGCUUUCAUCCAGGAGGCUCGGGUUCGAUUCCUGGCAUGGAAA
RNAcentral lists this transfer RNA (72 nucleotides) under Octopus bimaculoides (California two-spot octopus). RNAcentral describes it as "transfer RNA glutamic acid (anticodon UUC)". It matches the Rfam family "tRNA". From Rfam's summary of the family: Transfer RNA (tRNA) molecules are approximately 80 nucleotides in length. Their secondary structure includes four short double-helical elements and three loops (D, anti-codon, and T loops). Lineage: Eukaryota; Metazoa; Mollusca; Cephalopoda; Octopoda; Octopodidae. The record is from RNAcentral.